Molecule: long non-coding RNA, 1472 nt
Filed under: Coturnix japonica (Japanese quail)
Lineage: Eukaryota; Metazoa; Chordata; Aves; Galliformes; Phasianidae
Description: lncRNA (ENSCJPG00005001278.1)
Source: RNAcentral
AGCCCCACAGAAGAGUACACUGCAAGAGCUGCCUCAACUCACUACCAUUAUCCUGUAGAUUCAGUUGCGCUAUGAGAUUUGUGUGAGAAGAGGAGGAUAAAGGACUGAGCCACUGUGUUAGUGUCUCAGGAAGGGACCAGAGAUUUCCCCAAUAUACCCAGCAAAGGCUAAAGAGGUCUUCCUGAGGCUGCCACAGCUGUGCCUACGGGAUGCUCAGGAGGAAGAACUGGCACUGACUGAAUAGGACAUUUUCAGCAGAGACUCAGAAAGGACGAGGUGGAGAGAUGAGAUGCAUUUCAUUUGCUGUGCUUCCCGCUAAUGUGACCGAGCACCAGCACCUCCUUGGAGAGGUUUCUCUGACUCUGAGGAGAGCACCGUUCAGAGGGAGAGCCAUGAGCACCAGAGAGCCAGAGAAGCUUUCCUUAUCAAAAGAGUUAUUUCCAGCCCACAAAGAGGAGUAUUUUCUGCUGUAGCAUAUCCCAGUGAGCUCACAGUGCUUUCUGAAAUCUGUUUUUCUGGGUAGAGUCCUGUGGGAAGAAUAUGCAAGUUUAUCUGCCUGAGCUCUGCUGUUUUAUUACAGCUCAGUCAAAACGCCGAGGUGCCAAUUCUCUUCUUUUGCUAAUUGUUAAAGGAAAUGUCUUAAUUGUGUAGAAGAAUGUGCAAGUGUAACAUAUGACUUAUUAUUGAGAACCCUUUUUUUUUUUAUGCACUCUAAAACUCCAUCUGUCCUGUCAUCUGGAGUUGGCUACUUCUCUUGUAACACACAAAUGCAGAUCAAGAAUAAUAAGUUUUAAAUAUCCAGUGCAUUAAUCAAAGCAGGGUCUGAUUUUGUUUGACAGAAAGGAUUGGAAUAGCAGUCUCUGUGCUCUGGACAUCAAUGAGGAGAGUACACAGGAGUUUCUGAUCCUGACGUCAAGUAAUUUAACCCCACAACUUGUGAUGCUCUGGGGCCAUAUCUUACAGGUUGAGGGAUUUUUAUUCCCUCUGGGGAGAAAAUGGCGUGUUGUUCCCUAUCUACUGUUGAUAACGAGGGGGUGUUAACUCAUAAAGCCACUCCUUCGCAGAAGUUGUUGUCAGCAUCUUGAGAUCUAUAACCUCCCUUAUGGCAUAUCACACAGAUGCAGCCUGACCUGUCUUGUGGUCACCAACCAGCCAUGCACGGGGCUCACGUCUGCACUCUGUGCUUCACACAGCCUCAGUGUGGCUGAGGCCUCACGUGCUGCUGUAGGAGAUAACACGUCUCUGUUACUCUUAAUUACUUCCAACACUGUAUUUUUAGCAAUGCAAAUUCUUUUAUUGCAUGCAGGUUUCGAUCAGUCGUUAAGGGUUAGGAUGACUUAGAUAAGUGAAGGAGCAAAGUGUGCACUGGGUAAUUAAGGCUUGGACUCAGCAAAAGCAAGCAACUUCACAUAUUUCUAGUUGAAGUUAAGGCCUGAGCUUAUCCUUAAAUAAACUGAACAGUUGCAUUCUCA